This 253-nucleotide ribosomal RNA is filed under the name uncultured bacterium. Its description in RNAcentral is "partial 16S ribosomal RNA". It matches the Rfam family "Bacterial small subunit ribosomal RNA", at positions 524 to 776 of the family's 1533-position model. The record is from RNAcentral.
UACGGGGGGGGCAAGCGUUGUUCGGAAUCACUGGGCGUAAAGGGCGCGUAGGCGGCUUGCCAAGUCAGGGGUGAAAUCCUGCAGCUUAACUGUAGAAGGGCCUUUGAUACUGGCGAGCUCGAGGGAGGUAGGGGUAUGUGGAACUUCCGGUGGAGCGGUGAAAUGCGUUGAUAUCGGAAGGAACGCCGGUGGCGAAAGCGACGUACUGGACCUCUUCUGACGCUGAGGCGCGAAAGCUAGGGGAGCAAACGGG